CUGGAGAGCUACCCUCCUGUAGGUUUUCACUCCAACCCUGUUCCUGGAGAGCUACCCUCCUGUAGGUUUUCACUCCAACCCUGUUCCUGGAGAGCUACCCUCCUGUAGGUUUUCACUCCAACCCUGUUCCUGGAGAGCUACCCUCCUGUAGGUUUUCACUCCAACCCUGUUCCUGGAGAGCUACCCUCCUGUAGGUUUUCACUCCAACCCUGUUCCUGGAGAGCUACCCUCCUGUAGGUUUUCACUCCAACCCUGUUCCUGGAGAGCUACCCUCCUGUAGGUUUUCACUCCAACCCUGUUCCUGGAGAGCUACCCUCCUGUAGGUUUUCACUCCAACCCUGUUCCUGGAGAGCUACCCUCCUGUAGGUUUUCACUCCAACCCUGUUCCUGGAGAGCUACCCUCCUGUAGGUUUUCACUCCAACCCUGUUCCUGGAGAGCUACCCUUUUCACUCCAACCCUGUUC
This is a long non-coding RNA of Oncorhynchus keta (chum salmon), 464 nucleotides long. RefSeq lists it as uncharacterized. NCBI's taxonomy places the organism in Eukaryota, Metazoa, Chordata, Actinopteri, Salmoniformes, Salmonidae. The record is from RefSeq and is a predicted model, not a curated record. The transcript is spliced from 3 exons.